UACGUAGGUGGCAAGCGUUGUCCGGAUUUACUGGGCGUAAAGAGCGCGCAGGCGGUCGAUUUAGGCGCGUGUGAAAGCCCCCGGCUCAACUGGGGAGGGUCACGCGAUACUGAUCGACUCGAAGGCAGGAGAGGGUAGUGGAAUUCCCGGUGUAGCGGUGAAAUGCGCAGAUAUCGGGAGGAACACCUAUGGCGAAGGCAGCUCGCUGGGACGUUACUGACGCUGAGACGCGAAAGCGUGGGGAGCAAACAGG
RNAcentral lists this ribosomal RNA (253 nucleotides) under uncultured bacterium. RNAcentral's name for it is "partial 16S ribosomal RNA". It matches the Rfam family "Bacterial small subunit ribosomal RNA", at positions 524 to 776 of the family's 1533-position model. The record is from RNAcentral.